GACGAACGCUGGCGGCGUGCUUAACACAUGCAAGUCGAGCGGAAAGGCCCUUUCGGGGGUACUCGAGCGGCGAACGGGUGAGUAACACGUGAGUAAUCUGCCCUUGGCUUUGGGAUAACUACCGGAAACGGUGGCUAAUACCGGAUACGACGUACUCAGGCAUCUGAUGUGCGUGGAAAGUUUUUUCGGCCAGGGAUGUGCUCGCGGCCUAUCAGCUUGUUGGUGGGGUAAUGGCCUACCAAGGCUUCGACGGGUAGCCGGCCUGAGAGGGUGACCGGCCACACUGGGACUGAGACACGGCCCAGACUCCUACGGGAGGCAGCAGUGGGGAAUAUUGGACAAUGGGCGGAAGCCUGAUCCAGCAACGCCGCGUGAGGGAUGACGGCC
RNAcentral lists this ribosomal RNA (387 nucleotides) under uncultured bacterium. RNAcentral describes it as "bacterial SSU rRNA". It matches the Rfam family "Bacterial small subunit ribosomal RNA", at positions 28 to 416 of the family's 1533-position model. The record is from RNAcentral.